RNAcentral lists this transfer RNA (69 nucleotides) under Drosophila melanogaster (fruit fly). Its description in RNAcentral is "tRNA-Asn". It matches the Rfam family "tRNA". From Rfam's summary of the family: Transfer RNA (tRNA) molecules are approximately 80 nucleotides in length. Lineage: Eukaryota; Metazoa; Arthropoda; Insecta; Diptera; Drosophilidae. The record is from RNAcentral.
UUAAUUGAAGCCAAAAAGAGGCAUAUCACUGUUAAUGAUAUAAUUGAAUUUUAAAUUCCAAUUAAGCCA